This 453-nucleotide ribosomal RNA is filed under the name uncultured bacterium. RNAcentral describes it as "partial 16S ribosomal RNA". It matches the Rfam family "Bacterial small subunit ribosomal RNA", at positions 355 to 799 of the family's 1533-position model. The record is from RNAcentral.
UGGGGAAUUUUGGACAAUGGGGGAAACCCUGAUCCAGCCAUCCCGCGUGUGCGAUGAAGGCCUUCGGGUUGUAAAGCACUUUUGGCAGGAAAGAAACGUCGCGGGUUAAUACCCCGCGAAACUGACGGUACCUGCAGAAUAAGCACCGGCUAACUACGUGCCAGCAGCCGCGGUAAUACGUAGGGUGCAAGCGUUAAUCGGAAUUACUGGGCGUAAAGCGUGCGCAGGCGGUUCGGAAAGAAAGAUGUGAAAUCCCAGAGCUUAACUUUGGAACUGCAUUUUUAACUACCGGGCUAGAGUGUGUCAGAGGGAGAUGGAAUUCCGCGUGUAGCAGUGAAAUGCGUAGAUAUGCGGAGGAACACCGAUGGCGAAGGCAGCCUCCUGGGAUAACACUGACGCUCAUGCACGAAAGCGUGGGGAGCAAACAGGAUUAGAUANCCCUGGUAGUCCACG